CGUGUAAUCGAAGUGGAUAUUCGCUCGCGUUUCGGGUGAAAGUACAAGGGCCGGUGUGGGGUGCCCGAUGGAUAUAAUCAUACGGUUGUGUUUUACGGUGGUACCGUUUCUAUGGUGAAUGCUGCAAGUGCGGCGGUAAACUUUGCGGAGUAUAAUUUAACCUAAACGCCGGCCGAUCCGUUCGCCGUGCCUCCCCCUCACGGGUUGUCGUUGGUCGUUACUCAUUUUUAAUCAUAUUAAAUAAACACGUGCACACCGUGGCGACAGGCUUCGCCAAUCUAGUUUGUCUAAUAGGAUCAUUUACGGUCGCCUGCCCGGAUCCCCAAGUCCAACUCUCCCGGAUAUAAACGACGAGUGUCGCGGGCGCGGCGCGAGUCGAGGAGGGCUGGUCCGUUGCAGCAGACGAUCUGCGAUCUGCGUCGUCUGUACCUUAGAGUUACCACACCCAGCGAGCGGGCGAGCGAGCGAGUGAGCGAGCGAGUGACCAAGUGAGCGAGUGACCAAGUGAGCAAGUAAGCUCGGAAUCCCAGUAAGCUCUCGAGUUGAGCGGGCGAGCUAGCUUGAUAGAUAGCUAGCUAGCUAGCUGGCUGGCAGGUACCGAGGAACGAGGUAACCAACGAGCGACAGGCAACCAGGCGACCCAGAGGAGGCGCGAGCCUUGCGGAGCGGUGUGAAGUGAAGUGGAGUGCGGUGUGGUGUGGAUCGUAGCGAAGUGAAGCGGAGCGAGAAUAAGGAAGGGGCGAAAAAGUGGCGUAGAGACAGACAGACGGGGUGAUCGAGAGAAUCCGAUCCUAACGGGGGCCCGAGUUGCACGGAACCUGACAGAGAGAUCCGCGGGACGGACGGGGUCGGGCACGGGCGAUUUUAGCGUUUGACAAAACUGGUGCUGCAGCCGUAGCCUGGAUUCGGCGAUAAAGGUGUGGGUGGGUGCGUGCGUGCGGAUCGACCCUGUGUGCCGGUGGUGUUGCUGCGGCGUGUGCGAUUCCACCUUUAGCAUUUCAGAGAUUUCUUGUUUGAAACUCCACAGCGUAGCCUAGCAGCGGCCCGAUCCUAAGAAACUCGCCCCGCUGCUCGUCUACCGCUAGGUGGGAACGUGAGACCUGCCUACCCAUCUACACGUUAACUAUUUUUUUCGUGUGUUGAUGCGCCGUAGACGGCACUUGGCAAAAUUGCUGCCCCGCGCGUGAGGGUGCCGACUGCCCGUUCACCGUUACCGCGAACCUGUCGCCUUGAGUACCGAUAAGGAGGAAAAGGGAGCGGAAGAAACUCUAGAAGAAGGAAACGACGGAGACGAAGAAGAAGAAAAUAACAAUAGGAAUAUAAAGGAAUUUAAAAAAAGACGGCACCAGAAGAGGAGGAUCAUCACCGCAGUCACGGUGGCUCGGGUUCCCCGCUGCAACGCCGUAGCUGCCGUCAGCACCACCAAAUCUGCCACCUCCACUGCCGCCGCUGCUGCUGCUGCUACCGUUGCCAUCAAGAGCAAGUGCAAGAGCAACGCCACCUCCACCGACGGCAAAAGAUAAUAUCGGCUGAGCCGAGCUGAGCUCUGAGCCGAGCCUACCACUCGGACCGACCCACAAUUCCCUCUCUCCCUCCUCCCUCCGAGGAUUUUGCCCUGAAACAUGGCGUGCUGCCUGUCGGAAGAGGCGAAGGAACAGAAGCGGAUCAACCAGGAGAUCGAAAGGCAACUUCGGAGGGACAAGCGAGAUGCGAGGCGAGAGCUCAAACUGCUGCUCUUGGGUACUGGUGAGUCGGGUAAAUCCACAUUUAUCAAACAGAUGAGGAUCAUCCAUGGUUCAGGCUAUUCGGACGAAGACAAGCGAGGCUUUAUCAAACUGGUCUACCAAAAUAUAUUCAUGGCGAUGCAGUCGAUGAUCCGAGCCAUGGAACUGCUCAAGAUCCAGUAUGCAGAGUCUUCAAAUAUGGAAAAAGCGGAGCUCAUAAGAAGCGUAGACUUUGAAACUGUAACAACGUUUGAAAGCCCAUAUGUAGAAGCGAUAAAAGACUUGUGGGCAGAAGCUGGUAUUCAAGAGUGUUAUGACCGUCGACGAGAAUAUCAGCUGACAGACUCUGCAAAAUAUUAUCUUAGUGAUCUCGAACGUAUAGAAAAGCCCGACUACCUCCCCACCGAGCAAGACAUUCUCCGGGCUCGAGCUCCCACCACUGGAAUAAUUGAGUAUCCCUUCGAUUUGGACUCCAUCAUAUUUAGGAUGGUAGACGUUGGUGGACAGAGAUCUGAAAGAAGAAAAUGGAUUCAUUGUUUCGAGAACGUCACUUCCAUAAUAUUUUUAGUAGCUCUAAGUGAAUACGAUCAAAUUUUAUUUGAAUCUGAAAACGAGAACCGCAUGGAGGAGAGCAAGGCACUGUUCAAAACGAUCAUAACAUAUCCCUGGUUUCAACACUCUUCUGUUAUUCUGUUCCUAAACAAAAAAGAUCUUCUAGAGGAGAAAAUUAUGUACUCGCAUCUCGUUGACUACUUUCCAGAGUAUGAUGGGCCUAAGCAGGAUCACGUACCAGCCAGAGAAUUCAUCUUAAAGGUGUACCUCAGUUCUAAUCCAGACCCUGACCGCAUGUGCUACUCUCACUUCACUGCAGCAACAGAUACGGAGAAUAUCAAGCUUGUCUUUUGUGCCGUGAAGGAUACAAUUAUGCAAAGUGCUCUGAAAGAGUUUAAUCUAGCUUAAGUCGAUCAUUUUUUCUCAUUCUCACAUAUUUCAACAUCUUAUGCGUACGAUGGAGUUGGAAAAUUUGAAUUAUAGAUACUCAUUCAAAACAUGUGUAGCCUGUACGAGGGAUAUUUUAACAAAGAAUCUAUGGAAAAAUUAAAUCAACUAUGGUUAAGUUGUUCAAGUCAUCAAAUAUCUGGGUUCGCAUUUCUGCAUCAUUGUUUGUAUUUUAUUUUUCCUCCCCACUAGAGGUACAUACAUAUUACAAUUUCCUUUGUUUCACUCUAAGAUGAGAAUAAAGGUGAUCCUUUAAUUUAGUAUGGGAUCAGAGCGCAAUCGAUGAUUUUGUUGAGCAGCUUUUCCAUUUUGUUUUGUAAACUUCAAUAAAGCGGAAAUUCAUUUAUUUAUCAUAAAAAUUGCACAUUAAUUAAGAUGAUGAUCAUAUUAUUUGUAUGGUUCUCAGUUCAUUGUGGGUAUACCGAUAUUGUACAGUGCCGUGAGAAAUAAUGUUGCAAUUAAAUUUUAGAGUAGUCGUCACUACUUUCUGAUAAUUCUACGAAAUGAAAUUUUAUUUUUCUAUCGACCUUCCUGGUCUUCGGUUUAAAUUGAGAACAAUGCUUAGUGUGUAGUCGGGUUGGAUGAAGAAUAUGCAAAUGACAUUCUUAUUUCUCAGAUUUUAUCUAAGAACCGAUUAUAACUUGUACUGCCGCAUAGACGGAUUCGAAUAAUAAUUAAUAACAACAACAACAAUUGAGUGACAAUAAACUUAUGGAAGUGGAAAUGAAGUUUCUUGUUAUAUUAACAUGUUACUUGAUAAAGCACGCUGUCUGUCUACUAAAACUUCUUUAUUUAAAAAACUGCGCUUGCAUGAAACGAGUUUUUACAUUGCAUGCAUCAACUACUUACGGGAUACGGAAAACAUCAGAUUUGUGUUUGCGGCAGUGAAGGACACAAUUCUUCAAUCAAACUUGAAGGAAUACAACCUGGUGUAAAGGAACCCCCCAAAUAGCCAGGGUGGAUAAAUCUGUUUCUGUAUACCCCAGAUGAGAUCAGAGAGAAAAAGGUAUGGACUUUGUUGAGCAAGCGACAAACAAGAUGGAAGAAAACAAAGUACGAGAAAAAGAAAUGCAAGAAUCAAACACUUAUUUCUGGUGUCAUCGGCGCAUUGCUGCUUCAUCAGAAGUGUACCAACCUUAGCUAGAUAAUUAUGCAUGGGGGUUCCAGCGACAAACAAAACAAUAAAAGAAAACAAAACAAACAAACAAGGACCUAAAUCUGAGCGUUAUACGUUCUUUUCUAACUUUUUCACUGUCGAAACCAACAAACUGAUUUAGUUUCAUACUCUUUGUUGAAUUUGUUACCUUUUUAUAGCUUAGUUUAGUUGAUCGAGCCCGGCUGACCGUGACAUCGCCUGAUUUUUAUAUUAAUAAAAGAAACAAAGGAAAAAAAGUAUAUUAUAAAAAUAUUAAAAAUAUAAAGUACUGCGAAUAAAAAAUGGCACAGCUGUGCCAGUUUGUCCGAAUUGUUCGUAAUCAAUUCGUUGAGUCAAGAAAACCUCAGCGACUGAUAGUCGCGCGAAAAAGAGGACAAGUUUUUAUCACGAGUAGUCGGUGACACAAGUGAGAGCAAUUCUAGUGCCAUUUACUAGUGUGGUGUUUUUAUUGCAGUCCUUCGUUAUAUGCAAAACCAAAGUGUUUUUUUAUCUGUGCCAGAAACGACUAAAAGUUUUUUCUGCAUGUGACUCAAAUUCACAAAAUUCAUCAUAUAAAUAUUGUUAUAUAUAAUAUAUAUAAAAAAAAAGAAAAAAAAAUGAAACAUAGAAUAGUGUCAAAGAUACGAAAAAAAAGAAAAGAAACUUUUCCCUUUACAUUGCAAAAUACUAGGAAACGGCAUCUGUUCGAUGUGACUUUAGAUAAUUUGGAGGUGACGGCGGAUAGAAUGCAGGAAUCCUACUCCUGAUUACUCCUGCUGCUCUCUCCUCCGUCGCUGGAGCUCGGAUGUUGGGCGCUGCCAAAUAAGCAGAAAAAAUUCUCUAACACGCCGAAAUUUGAAACGAUACCCAUAAAUUGUAUCGUAUCAUAUAAAGGUGUCGCCCUUACCCGAUGGCAUGGCAUUUGCGCAGCAAGAGACAUGGCACUGCUAAUAUUGCUGAUAUGAUAUCAGAGUCAUGUAACUAGCUCACAUGUAUCCACCUUACAGUGUACGUACGUAUGAACUGCUCACUGCCUGCGCUCGCUCAUGUUGGCUAGCGCACUGCCCGCUGCAAGUAAUCUCUGUUAUUGUAUCGUCGUACCACAUCGUACAAAUGUACAAGUCCAAUUUCUGAUAGUACGUCGUAUAAAUUGUCAUACAAGCCCAGAGAAUACUGGCACAAAUUUUCUGUACAGUGUUUGUGGAUUGAAAUAUAUAAUUCCAGUUUCAUAAGUAAGGCAUUCAGACAUGUGCAGCCUGAAAGUCGUACUUUGACGCUGUUAACACUGCAUUGAUAUAGUCAGGGAGCAGCAUAUGUCAUACCUACUUUCAGUUGAAACACUGAAUUUAUAUGGAAAUAUAUAAAUACAUUGGAUAAAGUAUAAUAUUAAGAAAUAACAACAAAUAAUAUUAAAUAAUACUACAGCUUGGUUUUCAGUGUGCGUAAAAGAGAGAGCAUAAAGAGGGAGAGAUUGAACGAGCGAGCAAGCGGGCGGGUGAGUGAGUAAAUGAGCGAGUGAUUGAGUGACUAAGUGAUGCAAAAAGGGUAAGGAAGAGUGUCGGGGAUAUUGAGUGCAGAGCGGUGAACAUAUAUACUGGUGUGUUGUAUGCAUGCAUUUAACAAGACAGAGUGAGAUGCCCUCGUCUGCUGCCUGACCCAAGUGAGUGAAUGACGCAAUUCGUGGCUAUAGUUCAUUUGUAAAUCAUUUCUUGUCAAAAAGUAUACAUUUUUCUGAAAGCAUAAUAUGUUGGGUAUUCUUUCUGUGUGUAUAAACUGUAAACACUCCCCAAACCCAAAAUGAAAUCAAUGUUUCUAACUUAUUUAUAAUAAAUAAUAUACAUUAAUGAUAAAAAAAAUUGAAAAAAUAAAAAAAAAUAAAGGCAGUUUGUGACAGCA
This is an RNA transcript of Athalia rosae (coleseed sawfly), 5754 nucleotides long. It is a transcript of the gene named guanine nucleotide-binding protein G(q) subunit alpha, with no coding region annotated. The record is from RefSeq and is a predicted model, not a curated record. NCBI's taxonomy places the organism in Eukaryota, Metazoa, Arthropoda, Insecta, Hymenoptera, Athaliidae. The transcript has 9 exons.